This 8463-nucleotide long non-coding RNA is filed under the name Arabidopsis lyrata. RNAcentral describes it as "long non-coding RNA (ALYR_LNC001287)". Lineage: Eukaryota; Viridiplantae; Streptophyta; Magnoliopsida; Brassicales; Brassicaceae. The record is from RNAcentral.
AAGAAGACGAUCCAAACAAAGCAUCAUGGAUACCUUAUUUAUAUGUGGACCCAGCCGAUCCAAUAUGUGCAGGAUACAUUGAUUACUUAAAACACAAAAAAUUCAUGUCUAAGAUCGGUGCAAGCAAAAUCGAGAAAGCCGGUUCUGGAAAGUCAGUUAGGUGUCUAUUGCUCGAAAGAAAAGGAAAAUCAUCAUCGUCGGAUUUGUCAACGGAACCUCUUCACCUUCUUCCUUCAGCAGAUAUGAUUGUCAACAAGAACAAACCUACUACGUCUAUGACAGCUCAUGGGCUUCACCAAUGGUGGGAGCGAGACUCGUCACUGAGAGCAAAUUGGGAGAGCCGCUGCAUUAGACCCAACUCUAAAGGCAAUUAAUAGCAGAAAUUAACCAUACAAUAGAAACGAGGGUCACAUGUGGUUUGGUUAAAUGGCUUUAUGCCUUUUAUGUAUAUAUCUGGUUCAGGUUCCAUUUGUUCUAAUUUGUAUUUUCCUUUUUUUUUGGUUCCUUCCGUGUAUUGGUUGUCUCUAUGUUCCCAUGUUUUAUACCUCUUUCUCUUUAUUUUGCUUCUUUUAGUUUUUUUUUUUUUUUUGAUUUUUUUCCAUGUAACUGUUUAUAAUAAUUUCUUGAGAAAUUCCUAAAAAUGGCCCUAAAACAAGUUUUAUUGACAAUAAUAGCACACACUCCAUAAACUUCCAAAAAUAGCACUAGUUAACUUACUAUUAGUGUUUUUGUUCUAAAAAUUUUAUCACUAGUUUUUUUUUCAAUAAUACCACAACUUUUAUAUAAAAGCUAUUCAACAAAAUAAAUUAGAAAUAAAUUUAAAAUAUUAUAUUUGGGUUCCCUAUUUCCAAUUUAGGGUAUAUAUUUCUACCAUUUAAAAGAGAUUUUGAUUCAUUUUAAUAUUAGUUUAUGGUAUUAUAUUUGGGUUCCCUAUUUUCAAUUUAGGAUAUAUAUUUUCACCAUUUAAAAGAGAUUUUUAUUUUAAUAUUAGUUUGUGGUAUUACAUUUGGGUUCCCUAUUUCCAAAUUAGGGUAUAUAUUUCCACUAUUUAAAAACAAUUUUGAUUCAAUUUAAUAUUAGAUUAGUGUUUGCUCUCUUUUUUAUUUUCUAUCUUAUAUUUUCAUUAAGUUUAAUUGAAGUUUAUGGUGCUAUUUGUGAAACUUUUCAAAUGAGGUGCUAUUUUUGGAAAAAACAACUUUUUGGGGCUAUUUGUGUCAAUCUCCCUAAUUUCUUUAUGUUUUCUUUAACAAAGAUGAUACAAUAUAUAAUAACUGAAAUAUAAUGUUAUAACCGUGUGGUUAAUUGAUUAAACCAUAAUUAACAAAUAUAUAAGUGAUUAAUUAAAACCAUACCAUUUACUCUAUCUGUUUCAAUAUAUAAGAUGUUUUAAAGUGUCUAUUUUGUUUCAAAAUAUAUGAUGUUUUCCAAUUUUCUAUGCAACUUUAAAUAUAUUUGAUAUUUUAUGACUUUUUGUAUUUUGCAGUCUAUUUUCUAAUUGGUUGAAUUUUUUAAAUAAACUCUUAAAUGAUAGUUUUAAAAGAGAAAAUAAAUUUUCUUAAAAUAUGUGCCUUUAACCCAAACAUCCUAUAUUUUGAAAUAGAGUGAAUAUGAUAUUUAAAAUAUAUUAAUACAAAUAAUUGAUCAUAUUUAAAUAAUUAGUUUUAGGCCUCUCAUAUAUAUAUAUAUAUAUAUAUAUAUAUAUAUAUAUAUAUAUAAAUAUUUGAAAUAACCAAAAAUUUUUGAGUGUACAUCAUUUUAUAUGGUUUCCUUCCAAGUGUUAAUCGAACCGACGAUCUUUAAACUUUGCCUGAAAAUAUUUACCAAUUGAGCUAUUGACACUUGGUUGGCCUCUCAUAUAUUAAGCUGGUCUUGGUGAGAUCCUACAUAUUAGCAUGUUUUGUACCUCUUUCAAUCAUUUUGCUGCCAACUGCAUAACUUAUUAAAAAUGAUUUAUGUAAAAUUUCACAAACUAAACUAGACAUACAUUUAUAAUUUAUAUAUUACGAUUGACUCGAAUAUGAUGUCUAUAAUACUACAAUAUAUAUGUAAGGUUGUGAACAAUAUAUUGUUCUGACUUAUAUAUAGGUUAUGCAUGAAAAUAGAUUUAAUGCGAUCCCCUCCUAAAAUGUAACAAUCGAUCUCUACUAUUCAUAAAAGAAAAGUAUAUAAAUUUGUGUAAUGAAAAAAGGAGAAGUAGAUUCAUAUAUAAAUUUGUGUAAUGUGUAAUCCUUUAACAAAAAAAUAAAUUUGUGUAAUGAAGAAAAAGGAGAAGUAAUUUUGGAGUUGCCCAUUGUGCAACUCUCUUCUCCAUCUUAUAUAUAAAAUUAUCUAGAAUUUAUUUAUAGUUUUGGUGACAACUUAAAUCUCUUUUACAUUUCUUGCAUCAAUAAAGUUAUUCAAUUUCCAAUCUCGUUUAUCUCUUUUAGUUAGCUCUACAAAACCUAGAAUAAGCUUGGUUUGGAUUCUUCUACAUCGUGAUCAUGUCUGCUAUAUAUAAUUAGUGAAGUUUAUGAUGUGAAGACUCUUCAAUUAUGAUUGGCUACAAAUUGGGUUAAAUUUCAUUUUCUAAUGGUCAAACAAAGAUGAUAAUGUAUAUAGUAAAAUCUUUUUUUUUUUUUUGAAUUUAAUGUUAAAUUAUAUUCAAAAGAAAAAUAAACGUUUCUACAACUCAAUGCGAUGCAAUUCAAAACAUUUUUGAAACUUUGAAAAGAAAAACUGAGUCUUCUCUAUAGCCUUGACGCAAACCAAGCGUGGAUGCCGCUUGUGGCUUCUCCCCCUCCGAUUGUGCUCAAUCGGUUUCGUACAUUUUUAUCGAUCAACUUGACAAGUAUUUCCGUUGGUGAGGGCUGUUCACCAUGUCUCCUUCUAUUCCUUUCACUCCAGAUUAAAUGAAUGGUGUUUUGAAAUGUGUACUUGAGCAGGAAUGUUUUUGUCUUAUCAAUGCCUUCUCCUUUGAGAAGUUUCAUGAUCUCUGGCCAGCUCUCCGAGAACUUAUCCAACAAAAGCCCCUGAACCAAUUCUUUCCAAACUGUCUUCGAAUACGGGCACGUGAAGAACAGAUGAUCUCUGGUUUCCAUAGGUACACCACAGAACACACAGCUCGUGUUUGAGUUCUGCUUCCAUGUCAACAUUCUUUCCCCUGUUGCGAUCCUGUUUUUAAACACUAGCCAAGUGAUAAAUGCAUAUUUUGGAGUCGCAUGUGUGAACCAUAUCUCCUUGGACCCCUCCAUCAUCGGUUUCGCAGUGCGGAUUUGCUCCCAAGUUUCUCUGGUCGAGAAUCUCUUGCGAUAGCAGCUGUUUUUUCCUUUCCAUAGAGCCGUAUCUGUCUCAUUUCCUCUCAGCUGCAGUCUUGUUUUUUUAAUUUCUUCUUCAACACGGUUCAGCACUUCCUGGCGAUGCUUUCGUCUUCUAGACAUUGCUAUCACUUCCUUCACUGAGCUAGAUAAAGGGAUCCCCAAAUCAAUACAACCUCGCCCACCUAGCUUCUCCUUAAGGCAUCCUAGGUCAGACCAUGUGUCGUGCCAAAAAGAUGUGGUUUCUCCAUUCUUAACGUCAACUCUAUGAAACUGUCUUGCGAUAUCACGAUACUUAAGCAACUUUCGCCAUAUCCAUGAGCCGCAUGUGGUGGUCUCUUUCACAGCCCAGAAGGAGCCAUUCCGGAUUAGAUACCUGUUAACCCAGUCCACCCUUAAAGAGCCUCUUGCAGAAAGAAUGCGCCAAAUCAGCUUUAACAUGCUUACUCUGUUCGCAUCUUCAAGUGAUCUCAAACCCAAGCCUCCUUCUCUCUUUGGUGUGCAAACCUCAGCCCACGCUACUUUUGCUUUUUUGUUAUUCAAAGAAGGGUCUGACCAAAAAAAUGCCGAGCACAUCUUAUCGAUUUCCUUAAUACAAGCUUUAGGAAGGCGAGAUGUGGCAAUCCAAAAAUUAGUAAGACUAUAAGUGAUUAGUAAUUUUUUUAGUGAUUAAGACUAAAAAUUAGUAAGACUAAAUCUUAUUUUCUUGCUACUUGAACUUCAACAAUAUUAUCUAAAAGCUUUAACGAUUUGACUCCGUAAACUAAAAAGAACUAUGUUCAUGAAUAGAAUUUAAUUCACUUAUAAUAUAUAAAGAGAAAGUCAAAUAAAAAUAUUUAUAUAUAUAAUAAUAUUGUCAUUGUGUAUUUGUAAGAAAGCAAAUAAAUUGAUAAACAACAACAUUACUUUUUACUUUUUUUUUUGUUAAAUAAAUCAUCUUUUCUAAUUGAUCAUUGGUUUUAAAAAAGUGUUUUGUGCAAAAAAAACUCUUCAACUCGUCUAUUUUUGCAACUUAACCCUUCAAUUCCAGAAAAUGCAAAUUGAUCAUAUGAAGUCCAAAAUAAUACACAAUGUAAUCCUUAUACGUAUCUUGUAAACGUUUUUCCGGUCACGCAACAAAGGAUAGUUUUGGUAUUUCACAUUAUCUGACAACAUGGGACCUUGACUAUUUUGCAACAAAAAACUUUUUCUCUAUUAUUUUCUUAAUUUCAGUGGUUUAUUUGGCUAUUCAGUAAUAUUACCCUUCAAAAAAUUACAUGUUUUCAAUUUUCUAUAGGUGUAGUUAUUGUUGUUCUUUUUCUCAAUUUACCCCUAUAAGAUUUAUUAUUAAAAUAAAAAGAACUUGUGUAACAUUUAUUAAAAACAAGAUUAUAAUUGUCAUUUCCCUACCAAAAGAAAAAAAAAAAAAAGAUUACAAUUGUCAUUUUAGAGAACCUUUUGGUAUGUGUAAGAAACCUAAAACAUGGAAGAGGCAGUAUAUUUUUUACUUGUUAAGAAGAUAUGAUGAUACUUGAUGUUUGACAUUUGAACCUUUUUUCCCGUUUUUUUCCGUUUUAACUUUGAUUAUUUAGCGUAUUUUAAUUUGACACUACAUGAAUUCGGGUUAAGUGAAUAUAGUAGCGUUGACCUAAAAUACAAAUUCCAACUUAUAAUUAAUUUGGUAAUUUGGAAAGCUUAUUAGUUCCAUCAUACAUUUCCAUUGGAGGGCCAAGUUGGUUGCUUUCUCGCAUUGGAUCGAUGAACGACUUCAUUAUUAUUUUUUUUGUUUAGUCAGGAUACAAACGUGCUCCUUCAAGAUGGAGCGUCGUAUGUGACUCCAAUCUUUUACUAACAAAUCUUGGAAACUGGUGUGAGGAAGAUUGUUUGACACCAUAAUCAAAAUUUGUUUUAGGGUAGUAUAUGACUAUUUUUUUGUUAAUUCGGUGCAUUAAAUUUAAAGAAAUAAACAAUACAAGACUAUGAUCUUUUAGGAUCAUACAGUUUGAGGAAACAAGUAGGAGGUCAGGCUAAAGGCUCAUACAAUUUACAUAGUAGUGGGAUGCGGCUACCUCUAUGCAUUAGUCCAAAAACAUUCUAAAUUAGACAGUGUAGUGGUCCUUCGAGAAGAAGUGCAGUCUAAAGCACUUCGUUGCAUUUCUACCGGAGCUGACUGGAUCAACCGAUAGAAAAGUUAAGUAAAAAAACUUAUAUACUAAGCUAAAUAUAUGACUAUUUUAAUCAGUUUGAUUGUGUCCCAAUGGAGACAUAAGGUUUCUUUUACUUUAUAUAUGAUUUCAAAAAUCGAAACAGUAGUACCCGUUCUCAAUAAGAUUGAUUCAGGCUUUUAAGUAUGUUUUUAAUUUGCUAAUUAAUUUUUAUAAAUUUUGUCAAUUUGUAAAUAAAGAAGUAGUUGAUACGGUCUGGCUCGUUUCAGUGUGCUUGUGUCAGUGCUGAAGGGGUAAUCUCAAAGUCUCCGGAUCCAAAAAGUCUUUUAUAUUUUUAGCAUAUUUAUUAACAGCAAGAUGCUUUUUUCUGUGUAACAACAACUCAUGACUUCUUCUUUUGUUGAACUCUUAAAUUUCAAAAAAAAAAAAAAAACAGCAGAAGAACUCCUUUAGUUUGUUUUCUUUAAAAGAACUCUUAAGCUACUGCAUCAGAUUCGAUAAAAUUCGAUUCUGAUUGAUCUGUAAGACCACGGAAAAGGGUAAACGUUUUACUUUUGGUUUUCUUAUUUAGUUAUUUUCACCAUUUUCUGUUAUUUUCUUUCCUUCUAAAAAGAAAUCUCUACAAUGUUUUUAGAAUCUGUCGUUUAAAAACACAUAAAUAUCAGCUUUUCCUUUCUUUUGUUUUAAUUAUUGGCAAUCAGAGAUCUUGAUUAGUUUACACAACAUGCAUUUAGUAGAAAGGUUUCGCAGUGGCCAAAAAGAUGCAACCAUUGCAAUUGUUUUUAUUCUGUAGUUUACAUUUUCUCCAUUUUUAUUUAGUCUCGUGCAACGAUUUUCUUUCGGCAGUUAUCCCUCGUUAUCCUCAUAUUGCCAAAUAAAUGUAUUACUAAGUGUAUAUGUGAAGAUAAUAUUGGUAAUAACAUGUAUAGACCAACAUUUGUAGUACAUUUACAUAUUGUUCUUCACCAUUUCACGUUAAAUCAAUUUGAUUACUAAUUUGGCAAUAAUGUAAUAAUAUCUUAGAUUAUAGGAACAAGAAGAGGAAGAAGAAAUGGGACGAGGUUCUCUCAGACAAAUGAUGGGAGGAGGAGUGGUGGCCUUAGACUCAGAUAGAGACAUUUUCAGCAUCUCUGGCCCCUUCCAUCUUACAUCUAUUGAUUGGUAACAUUUUAUUUACUAUGCUUCUUUUAUUGUUUUUUUUUUUUUUUCUUGUAACCGUGCAUAAAGCAAAUGUUGACAAUUAAAGGCGUCUGUAGGAAAUAAAUUAUGGACUGUCUGUACGUUUUUUUUUUUUCGGCAAAUCAAAUAUAUUGAUAUCAUAAAAGUUUACAAGGUACAGAAUAGAUACAAAACAACCAUUGUACGCAAAUAUAGGAAAUUGAAACAAUUUCGAUGAAAGAGUGGAGAGUAAAUUAAACCUCUACCUAAUUUUCUCUGAAUUUACUAUAUAUAAACUUUCGAAUUCCACCCAGUCUAUUAAAUUCAUCCCAAAUAAGCAAAUUUAAUUAAUCUCGUCAAUUGCAAUUUAAAAUCUUUAAACGGCGUUUACUGUUCCGUGAUUACACUAACCUGAUUUAAUAAAUUGACCCGACAACACUAGACAACAAGCGUGAAAAUUAGAGGCUAAAAAUACAGAACUAUCUAGGCUUUCCAUGAAUUAUAGAACGUUCUUUCUUUCUUUCUUUUUUGGCUCAAACACAACUUUUCAACAACCAAAUUAUAAAACUUAAAGCGUUACGAAGUUUUUUUUUUUUUAUGAUAGACGAUGGAAGGUUUUAAUUAAAACUCUAUGAAUUCAUGUGCCGUGAGGAGGAGUUUCUUAGUAAAAGUUGAUCUCUGAAGAUCCAUAUUGAUAUCGCCUACUUAUUUAAAAUUAAAAUAAAUAUCCAAUAUAUAUCCGAAUUCUAAGAAUAAUUUGUUUUUUUUUUAUAGGAACAAUUCGUACCAUCGGACCUCAGUAGCAUCAAGUUUGGUAAAUGGAGUGUACAUAUUGGAACGGGACAGGCAAGAGAGACGGGUAGGUUCCGGAUCACUAGCCAUGCCCUGGUGGGAUUUCUUCAACUUCUCUUUAGUCGAAACCUUGAUCGACGACUACGACGGCUCCAUAUAUGGUGCCGUUAUAUGGAGCCGUUUUCGAAUAUAAGCUCUCCAACUUUUGCCAAAAUACCCCUCACGUGAAAGUACCUCCACGUUACGUGAUUGCGUUCCGCGGCACAAUCCUAGAGUCAGAAACUUGGAUAUCUGACGUCAAACUCAACCUCAAAAUCAGCUUUAAUUAACACCCUCCAUCAUGGCAGUAGGUCUAUGCACGCCAUACGAGCAAUCCGCAAUGUGGUGGACAAACAUAACCAUUCAGCUAUAUGGCUUGCUGGACACUCUUUGGGAGCCGCCCUAGUGUUGUUGGCUGGAAAGACCAUGACACGUUUCGGAUAUUUCCUCGAAAGUUACAUAUUCAACCCACCCAUCUCGUCUAUUCCUCUAGAACAGCUACCUGGGGGAGAUAUGCUUAAAGGUAUGUUUCAAAUCACCAAGAGUGUCGUCAAAGCUACCGUAGCCAUUGCCUUAACCGAUCUACAUGUAAAUAAAUAAUAUUUGCCCUACUUGACUGAGUUUUUUAAAAUAUAUAUAGUACUAUUUUCAAGUUGAUUUUCUUACAAGAAACUGUUUGUCUUAAAUUAUUAUAGGUUCAAGAAGAAGAUCCAAAAACAGCAUCAUGGAUACCUUAUUUAUAUGUGAAUUCAGCAGAUCCAAUAUGUGCAGGAUUCAUCGAUUACUUCAAACGCAAAACCUUCAUGUCUAAGAUCGGUGCAAGCAAAAUCGAGAAAGCCGGUUCUGGAAAGUCAGUUAGGUGUCUAUUGCUCGAAAGAAAAGGAAAAUCAUCAUCGUCGGAUUUGUCAACGGAACCUCUUCACCUUCUUCCUUCAGCAGAUAUGAUUGUCAACAAGAACAAACCUACUACGUCUAUGACAGCGCAUGGACUUCAUCAGUGGUGGGAGCGAGACCCUACUCUGAGGGAAAAUUGGGAA